UACGUAGGUGGCAAGCGUUGUCCGGAUUUACUGGGCGUAAAGAGCGCGCAGGCGGUCGUUCAAGUCGCGUGUGAAAGCCCCCGGCUCAACUGGGGAGGGUCACGCGAUACUGAUCGACUCGAAGGCAGGAGAGGGUAGUGGAAUUCCCGGUGUAGUGGUGAAAUGCGUAGAUAUCGGGAGGAACACCUGUGGCGAAGGCGGCCACCUGGGCCGACCCUGACGCUGAGGCGCGAAGGCGUGGGGAGCGAACGGG
RNAcentral lists this ribosomal RNA (253 nucleotides) under uncultured bacterium. RNAcentral describes it as "partial 16S ribosomal RNA". It matches the Rfam family "Bacterial small subunit ribosomal RNA", at positions 524 to 776 of the family's 1533-position model. The record is from RNAcentral.